AUUGAACGCUGGCGGCAUGCCUUACACAUGCAAGUCGAACGGUAACGCGGGGGCAACCCUGGCGACGAGUGGCGAACGGGUGAGUAAUACAUCGGAACGUACCCAGUAGUGGGGGAUAGCCCGGCGAAAGCCGGAUUAAUACCGCAUACGCACUACGGUGGAAAGCGGGGGACCGCAAGGCCUCGCGCUACUGGAGCGGCCGAUGGCAGAUUAGCUAGUUGGUGGGGUAAAAGCCUACCAAGGCGACGAUCUGUAGCUGGUCUGAGAGGACGACCAGCCACACUGGGACUGAGACACGGCCCAGACUCCUACGGGAGGCAGCAGUGGGGAAUUUUGGACAAUGGGGGAAACCCUGAUCCAGCGAUGCCGCGUGUGUGAAGAAGGCCUUCGGGUUGUAAAGCACUUUUGUCCGGAAAGAAAUCCGUCGGGCUAAUACCCUGGCGGGAUGACGGUACCGGAAGAAUAAGCACCGGCUAACUACGUGCCAGCCGCCGCAGUAA
This 500-nucleotide ribosomal RNA is filed under the name uncultured bacterium. RNAcentral's name for it is "partial 16S ribosomal RNA". It matches the Rfam family "Bacterial small subunit ribosomal RNA", at positions 29 to 523 of the family's 1533-position model. The record is from RNAcentral.